This 467-nucleotide ribosomal RNA is filed under the name uncultured bacterium. Its description in RNAcentral is "partial 16S ribosomal RNA". It matches the Rfam family "Bacterial small subunit ribosomal RNA", at positions 28 to 507 of the family's 1533-position model. The record is from RNAcentral.
GAUGAACGCUGGCGGCGUGCUUAACACAUGCAAGUCGAACGGAAAGGCCCAAGCUUGCUUGGGUACUCGAGUGGCGAACGGGUGAGUAACACGUGGGUGAUCUGCCCUGCACUUCGGGAUAAGCCUGGGAAACUGGGUCUAAUACCGGAUAGGACCACUUCUUGGAUGUUGUGGUGGAAAGUUUUUUCGGUGUGGGAUGAGCUCGCGGCCUAUCCGCUUGUUUGUGGGGUAAUGGCCUACCAAGGCGUCGACGGGUAGCCGGCCUGAGAGGGUGUACGGCCACAUUGGGACUGAGAUACGGGCCAGACUCCGACGGGAGGCAGCAGUGGGGAAUAUUGCACAAUGGGCGCAAGCCUGAUGCAGCGACGCCGCGUGGGGGAUGACGGCCUUCGGGUUGUAAACUCCUUUCGCGAGGGACGAAGCGUUUUGUGACGGUACCUGGAGAAGAAGCACCGGCUAACUACGUG